Rhineura floridana is the source of this 497-nucleotide long non-coding RNA. RefSeq lists it as uncharacterized. Lineage: Eukaryota; Metazoa; Chordata; Lepidosauria; Squamata; Rhineuridae. The transcript has 4 exons. The record is from RefSeq and is a predicted model, not a curated record.
UUCUAGUGUUGAUGCUUGUGAGGGCUGGGAGGCAAUUCAGCUUUUCUCUCUGACUUGGGUGGGAACUCCUCAACUGAAGCAUUUGCUGUGGUGUGCCAAAAUCCAAAACCUGCAAGCGGUGGAAGCUAUCUGCUCUGCUUUGUUUUCACGUGCUUUGCCAAGCUGAAGGCUUCAGGUCUACUCACUCAUAGGUUGCUACUGAGCAAAUAGAACCAGAGAGAUGUAUCCAAUGAAGGUUAAUGUUUAGUCCAGAACUGGCAUGUUAUGCAUGAGCCCUGACUGGAUCCACUAAUUCAGAAUUUAGAACCUUAUUUUCAGUUGGUGCUGAAAACUGGGAAUCUGUGGAAACUUUCUGCUGCCAGAGAAGAACUUCUGAUAAGACGUUGGUAUGAAGCUGCUGGAUAGCCAGAACAAUAUCUAAGUGAAAUAAUAACAUAUGUGUGUUGAACGGACACUAUGCAAAAAAUACACUGUUUGGAAAAUCACUGAUGCAAGAA